CAGCUUCUUGCUCAUCCUUAUUGGGAGAACUGCACCGUUACUUUAAAAAUACACACACACAAAAACCUUAAGGGAGAAAGCAGGUAAUUGCUGCCAUGGAAACACAACUGUCUAAUGGGCCAACUUGCAAUAACACAGCCAAUGGUCCAACCACUGUAAACAACAACUGCUCCUCACCAGUUGACUCCGGGAACACAGAGGACAGCAAGACCAACCUAAUAGUCAACUACCUUCCUCAGAACAUGACACAGGAAGAACUAAAGAGUCUUUUUGGGAGCAUUGGCGAGAUUGAGUCCUGUAAGCUUGUAAGAGACAAAAUAACAGGGCAGAGCUUGGGUUACGGCUUUGUGAACUACAUUGAUCCCAAGGAUGCAGAGAAAGCGAUCAACACUCUGAAUGGAUUGAGACUU
This 410-nucleotide long non-coding RNA is filed under the name Rattus norvegicus (Norway rat). RNAcentral's name for it is "long non-coding RNA NONRATT023379". Lineage: Eukaryota; Metazoa; Chordata; Mammalia; Rodentia; Muridae. The record is from RNAcentral.